Molecule: long non-coding RNA, 1322 nt
Filed under: Macaca fascicularis (crab-eating macaque)
Lineage: Eukaryota; Metazoa; Chordata; Mammalia; Primates; Cercopithecidae
Description: lncRNA (ENSMFAG00000059083.1)
Source: RNAcentral
UUUUUUUUUUUUUUUUGAGAUAGGAUCUUGCUCUGUCGCCCAGGCUGGAGUGCAGUGGUGCAAUCACAGCUCACUGCAGCCUCAACCUCCCAAGCUCAAGUGAUGGUCCUAUCUUGACCUCCCGAGCUCAACUGAUCAGCCUACCUCAACCCCUAGAGUAGCUGGGACUGACGGGUGCCACCAUGACCCACUAAUUAAAAAACAAAAAAUUGCAGGGGGAUGGUCUUUAUGUUGCCCAGUCUUGCCCCAACUCCUGGCCUGAAGUGAUUCUCCUGCCUUGGCCUCCCAAAGUGCUGGGAUUACAGGCAUGAGCCACUGUGCCCGGCCUUGAAUAUGAUUGUUCAGUAACAUCUUCUGUCAUCCCUUCUCCUUGAAACUGGGUCACUGCCCUCACCACAGUGAGUGUUGCCUGCUGCCGCAUGGCUCCGCCUCCUUCCAACCUUCUGUGUUGGGGUAAGGAAGGCCAGGCCAGAGGGGGACACAGCCCUGACAAUGCUCUCUGGCACUGUCCCUUCUGCCUCAAGGGGUGUGACGCCCAGGGAAUUCCCUGCCCUCACCAGUGGACCCCAAACCCACAGUGUGAAUGCGUCUCUCACCACGCUAGCAUUGCUGACCUCCACGGCAUGGCAUCAGCUACUCUACCCAAUUUACCCAUGGCAGCAACUGUGUCCUAUCACACAACAGCCUCAGAUUCCAGGUCUACCUGGGGCACACCUGGGCCUGUCUUUAGCUUCCUCCCAUCUCCUUUUAUAUUAUUUUCCCUUCUUCUUUCCCACCCUGGUCAGCACUUCCAAAGAACCUGCCCCAAACCCAGAUGUCAAGGUGAACUUUUGUGUUGGUAAAAUGUGGUCACUCCAGCUGCCAGGGCUGGGUGCUUGCCUAUUGGACAUGGGCAAGGGGAGGCCUGGGGGCUGGAGCAGGAGGAAGGAGCCACCCAAAAGGGCAUACAGGGCUCCCCAGAGGAACCCAGCCCUACGGGUGGAGCUUUCUUCCGCCCUGGGUUCUUCUGCCGCAGGGACUUAGAGGCAGUUGCCCAACUGGCAUCUCCCUUUCCUUUCAGUCAUUGAAUAACCGGAUUUAAACAACCUGCCCUCAACCCCCAAAAAGGUGCAAUCUGACUGCAGCUCAAAACAACAUUCCAGCCAUCCUAGGGGAAAGGAGUUUAUAAAUAUUACUUGGCUUCCAUGUGCAUCACUGAGCUCCUUCAUAAAUCAGGGCUUGGGGCUCCUGCACUCCCAGACUAUACAAAGCUCGCCUCUGACUCCCGUGUUUCCAAUUUUAAAUCAAAUGCAGCCCAGCCCUGCCGGCUCCUGUUUAUCCUC